GGAAACGGUAGCUAAUACCGCAUAACGUCGCAAGACCAAAGAGGGGGACCUUCGGGCCUCUUGCCAUCGGAUGUGCCCAGAUGGGAUUAGCUUGUUGGUGGGGUAACGGCUCACCAAGGCGACGAUCUCUAGCUGGUCUGAGAGGAUGACCAGCCACACUGGAACUGAGACACGGUCCAGACUCCUACGGGAGGCAGCAGUGGGGAAUAUUGCACAAUGGGCGCAAGCCUGAUGCAGCCAUGCCGCGUGUAUGAA
This 255-nucleotide ribosomal RNA is filed under the name Escherichia coli. Its description in RNAcentral is "partial 16S ribosomal RNA". It matches the Rfam family "Bacterial small subunit ribosomal RNA", at positions 152 to 409 of the family's 1533-position model. The record is from RNAcentral. Lineage: Bacteria; Pseudomonadati; Pseudomonadota; Gammaproteobacteria; Enterobacterales; Enterobacteriaceae.